CUCCUGGACUACCGUGAAGAUGGUG
Molecule: non-coding RNA, 25 nt
Filed under: Cricetulus griseus (Chinese hamster)
Lineage: Eukaryota; Metazoa; Chordata; Mammalia; Rodentia; Cricetidae
Source: RNAcentral